Molecule: microRNA precursor, 84 nt
Filed under: Bombyx mori (domestic silkworm)
Lineage: Eukaryota; Metazoa; Arthropoda; Insecta; Lepidoptera; Bombycidae
Description: mir-2807 microRNA precursor family
Rfam family: mir-2807 microRNA precursor family
Source: Rfam by way of RNAcentral
UUAACACGAAUUUGUAUGGAGUUGGAACGUUUGCCUACGUUUCCCGCUAGGGGCGCUGUUCCAACUCCAUACAAAUUCGUGUUA